GCUCAGUAACACGUGGAUAACCUACCCUUAGGACCGGGAUAACCCUGGGAAACUGGGGCUAAUACUGGAUAGAUGAUUUUUCCUGGAAUGGUUUUUUGUUUAAAUGUUUUUUCGCCUAAGGAUGGGUCUGCGGCAGAUUAGGUAGUUGGUUAGGUAAUGGCUUACCAAGCCUAUGAUCUGUACGGGUUGUGAGAGCAAGAGCCCGGAGAUGGAACCUGAGACAAGGUUCCAGGCCCUAUGGGGCGCAGCAGGCGCGAAACCUCCGCAAUGUGAGAAAUCGCGACGGGGGGAUCCCAAGUGCCAUUCUUAACGGGAUGGCUUUUCUUAAGUGUAAAAAGCUUUUGGAAUAAGAGCUGGGCAAGACCGGUGCCAGCCGCCGCGGUAACACCGGCAGCUCUAGUGGUAGCUGUUUUUAUUGGGCCUAAAGCGUUCGUAGCCGGUUUGAUAAGUCACUGGUGAAAUCCUGUAGCUUAACUGUGGGAAUUGCUGGUGAUACUGUUGAACUUGAGGUCGGGAGAGGUUAGCGGUACUCCCAGGGUAGAGGUGAAAUUCUGUAAUCCUGGGAGGACCACCUGUGGCGAAGGCGGCUAACUGGAACGAACCUGACGGUGAGGGACGAAAGCUAGGGGCGCGAACCGGAUUAGAUACCCGGGUAGUCCUAGCCGCAAACGAUGCGGACUUGGUGUUGGGAUGGCUUUGAGCCGCUCCGGUGCCGAAGGGAAGCUGUUAAGUCCGCCGCCUGGGAAGUACGGUCGCAAGACCGAAACUUAAAGGAAUUGGCGGGGGAGCAC
RNAcentral lists this ribosomal RNA (791 nucleotides) under uncultured Methanobacteriaceae archaeon. Its description in RNAcentral is "bacterial SSU rRNA". It matches the Rfam family "Archaeal small subunit ribosomal RNA", at positions 88 to 879 of the family's 1478-position model. The record is from RNAcentral. Lineage: Archaea; Methanobacteriati; Methanobacteriota; Methanobacteria; Methanobacteriales; Methanobacteriaceae.